UACGUAGGGUGCGAGCGUUGUCCGGAAUUAUUGGGCGUAAAGAGCUCGUAGGCGGUUUGUCGCGUCGGCCGUGAAAACUUGGGGCUUAACCCCAAGCCUGCGGUCGAUACGGGCAGACUUGAGUUCGGCAGGGGAGACUGGAAUUCCUGGUGUAGCGGUGAAAUGCGCAGAUAUCAGGAGGAACACCGGUGGCGAAGGCGGGUCUCUGGGCCGAAACUGACGCUGAGGAGCGAAAGCGUGGGGAGCGAACAGG
Molecule: ribosomal RNA, 253 nt
Filed under: uncultured bacterium
Lineage: Bacteria
Description: partial 16S ribosomal RNA
Rfam family: Bacterial small subunit ribosomal RNA
Source: RNAcentral